AUUAGUUUUCGUAGCAGACGAAAUUGACUCGUGUGUUACUGAUUUCUAAUCUAAAGAAUUAUCCUAACAUACCUAAUAUUCCUAUCUCCAAAUGUCUAGCUAUCGAAAUGUGUUAAAGUCUUAUCAGAAGACUCAUCGAGAGAGAGGACAGCUUGAAUCCAGAAAACACUUAGGAUUUCUUGAAAAGAAAAAGGAUUAUAAGAUUAGAGCAAAUGAGCGAGCUAAAAAAGAAAAAAUUAUAAAGACCUUAAAAAAUAAGGCAUUGGAUAAAAAUCCUGAUGAAUUCUAUUUUAAUAUGAUAAAUAGCAAAGUGAAAUCUGGAAUCCAUGAAGCAAAAGAUGAAGAGAAAACAUAUACUGACGCUCAACAUAAAUUAAUGAAUACACAGGAUUUAGGUUAUGUUAAAUAUAAGCAUACUUCAGAAAAAAAAAAAAUUGAGCAAUUAAAAAGUAGUAUGCAUUUCCUCGAUGUUGAAAAACCUAAUAAACACAUUGUCUUUGUCGAUUCAAAAACAGAAGAGAGAGAAUUUGACCCUGUCAAGUAUUUUGAUACUCAUCCUUCGCUUGUUGAUAGAAGUUUUAAUAGGCCAAAAAUGAGCACUCUAGAGAAGCCUAUAAAUAUUGGAGAAAAAGCAAUCUUAAGAACUACUGAUAAACGAAUCAAAACUUACAAAGAGUUAGGUCAGAGAUUGGAUAGAGAGAAAGAAUUAAGAGUCAUUCAAGAUAAACUCUCUGUAAAGAAACGAUUACUGAUGGAAAAGAAGACAAAGAAAAUAAAGAUUAAAGGAGAAAGCAAAACAAGUGCAGCUGUUUAUAAAUUGAAAGCUAAACGUAAACGUUAAAAAGUUAUCUUGAAUUUAGCUCUAUUCUUUUGUUAUACAAUUAAUUCAAAGUUAUUUUUAUCUUUUUUUGUUAACCUUCUUGUAUUUCUUCGUCUUCUUCGUAUUCCCCCUCUUCAUCAGCAGUAGCAUCCUGAUACUGCUGAUAUUCAGAUACAAGAUCGUUCAUGUUUGACUCAGCUUCAGUGAAUUCCAUUUCAUCCAUGCCUUCACCUGUAUACCAAUGAAGAAAAGCUUUUCUUCUGAACAUAGCAGUAAACUGCUCAGAAACUCGUUUGAAUAGUUCUUGAAUGGCAGUUGUAUUCCCAACAAAUGUUGCGGCCAUUUUCAGACCUCUAGGAGGUAUGUCACAAACAGCAGUUUUUACAUUAUUUGGUAUCCAUUCGACAAAGUAACUGCUGUUCUUAUUCUGAACAUUAAGCAUCUGUUCAUCUACUUCUUUCAUAGACAUACGACCUCUGAAGAGGGCUGCUACGGUUAAGUAACGACCGUGGCGUGGAUCGCAAGCAGCCAUCAUAUUCUUAGCAUCAAAUAUUUGUUGGGUUAGUUCAGGAACAGUAAGGGCUCUAUAUUGUUGACUUCCUCUUGAUGUCAACGGAGCAAAUCCAGGCAUAAAAAAAUGCAGUCUUGGGAAGGGUAUCAUAUUGACCGCCAAUUUUCUUAGAUCAGCAUUUAAUUGGCCAGGGAAUCGUAGGCACGUAGUAACACCUGACAUAGUUGCUGAAACUAAAUGAUUCAAAUCACCAUAAGUUGGAGUGGUGAGCUUCAAAGUUCUAAAACAUAUAUCAUAUAAAGCUUCAUUAUCAAUACAAUAUGUUUCAUCUGUGUUUUCAACUAGCUGGUGAACGGAAAGUGUAGCAUUAUAAGGUUCAACGACAGUAUCAGAAACCUUUGGAGAGGGCACGACUGAGAAAGUAUUCAUAAUUCUAUCAGGAUAUUCCUCCCUGAUUUUAGAAAUUAGAAGAGUUCCCAUUCCUGAGCCAGUUCCCCCACCUAACGAAUGGGUCAUUUGAAAUCCUUGCAAGCAGUCACAACUCUCUGCCUCUUUCCUAACAAUAUCCAAAAUGGAAUCAACCAGCUCUGCUCCUUCAGUAUAGUGACCUUUAGCCCAAUUAUUUCCUGCUCCGCUUUGACCAAAAAUGAAAUUAUCCGGCCUAAAAAUUUGUCCAAAAGGACCAGACCGAACAGAAUCCAUAGUUCCUGGUUCUAGGUCAACCAAGACUGAUCGGGGUACAUACUUUCCACCUUAAGAAGCUGGAAUUAGUAAAAUCAACAGAAAGAGUAAACUUUACCAGUAGCUUCAUUGAAAUAGACAUUAAUCCUCUCCAAUUGUAAAUCAGAAUCUCCAUGAUAACUUCCAGUUUGAUCGAUACCGUGCUCAUCAGAAAUAACCUCCCAGAACUGAAACAAAAGUAAAAUAUAGCUAAAAUAAAUGGCUUGAGCAGAAGUAUUGAAUUACCUUAGCUCCAAUCUGGUUUCCACAUUGUCCAGCUUGAAUACUAACGAUUUCUCUCAUUUUUUUUUACUUUAUUGUUUUUUUCAGUAUCACUUAUUUAAAACAAAAUUAAAAAUGAUUUAAAAUAUGUAACGUCAAUAACAUGUCAUAUUUUUCAAAUAGAAUAAAAUAUGUUAAGUACACAUAGGGGGGCGCUGAUAGUUAUCAUUUGACGCAUUUCUAAUCCAUUGAUAAGCAUAUAUUCACUAAACACUUUAAUAAUAGUCAGGUUUUCUUUUAAAAAUAGUGAAUCUAUUUUUAGCAGUUUUCUUAUAUAUCAAUGAUUUUAUGCAAAUUCAAAAGUCUAUUUAUGCCAACUAUGCAUCAUGUUGUGAGAUGGAUGAUGUAUUUGAGACGGAGGAAGAGAUUGAUCGACAUCUGGCAAGGGUGAAUCUUGAAAGGGGCUUGAGGUAUAUCCAUUAUUGUACAAGAAAAGUCUUUUUGACAUUUCGAAGGACAUAAACAUGAUACCGGCAUAUGGCAUGACUUUGAUAAGAUUUGCAGUUGUUCCAUUCCAUAGGGCUAAUACACCUUUAGAUCGGACUGUUUGAACAAAUCCAUCAAUCAUACCAUUAAAAUGAACAUCUGGUCCCGCUCCCUCAAUAAAUUUCGACUGAGCUUGCAAUUUUUUUCUUAUGGUGUCAAAAGGAUAAGAAAGGGUUUGAGCAAAAGCACCAGCCAAACAACCAUCAAUGAAAUUCUCGAGAGGCGUCAUUUGUGACUUGGGUUUUUUCCAGGCUUUUUCCAAUAUCUCAUAAGCCAUGAAAGUUGCUCCAGCGAAUGGUAUAACUCCAAUAAUUGACGUACCCAUACCUUUGUAUAAACUUAGAGCUCCUUCCUCAGCUGCUAUAACUUUGAAAGCGUGUACAAUUCCUUUGUAUUUUGCUUUUGAAAGAUCAGCGUGCUGAGCUGUCAAUCUUGUUUUUACCAUAUCCAUAGGAUAUGUUGCAAUGACCGCCACAACGCCUCCUGCAGAUCCAGCUACCAUUGCAUUGAUUGGGGAUAUUUUUCCAUUUUUAUCAGACAACACAUUCUUAAAUUUUUCAUAAGCAGCAAAUUGAAGAGCAUAGUAAGGAAAUCCUCUGAGAGAAGCAAUAGCAUUUCCUUUCCAAAAUGCUCUGAUUCCUUCAUUUUUAUACUGAUUGACAAAUGUUGAAAGCAUUCCACUCCUUGCGUCUCCAAUUCCAACUUGUUGAAGUGUUUUUACAACAUCUAAGGGUGAACAUACGGUCCUGCAUAUAACGCCGGCGUUGCCACCGCAUAUUAAGUUUUGAGUAAAUGUUAAUCUGUUGUCCUUCGGCAUAACCACAAAUAUGAGAUAGCCGCUCUUAUUUACUGACCUUCUUCACAACAAUGUGACUGAACGAAGGUUACUA
RNAcentral lists this unclassified non-coding RNA (3709 nucleotides) under Dimorphilus gyrociliatus. RNAcentral describes it as "U3 small nucleolar RNA-associated protein 11". Lineage: Eukaryota; Metazoa; Annelida; Polychaeta; Dinophilidae. The record is from RNAcentral.